This 325-nucleotide ribosomal RNA is filed under the name uncultured eukaryote. RNAcentral describes it as "partial 18S ribosomal RNA". It matches the Rfam family "Eukaryotic small subunit ribosomal RNA", at positions 1470 to 1796 of the family's 1831-position model. The record is from RNAcentral.
CCCUUAGAUGUCCUGGGCCGCACGCGCGCUACACUGAUGCGUUCAACGAGUUCUUCCUUGGCCGAGAGGCCUGGGCAAUCUUUUGAACGCGCAUCGUGAUAGGGAUUGACACUUGCAAUUAUUUGUCAUGAACGAGGAAUUCCUAGUAAACGCAGAUCAUCAAUCUGCAUUGAUUACGUCCCUGCCCUUUGUACACACCGCCCGUCGCACCUACCGAUUGAAUGGUCCGGUGAAGCCUCGGGAUUGUGGCGAGUUUCCUCUAUUGGGAGUUUGUCGCGAGAACUUGUCUAAACCUUAUCAUUUAGAGGAAGGUGAAGUCGUAACA